GUUUAUCAAAAACAUGUCCUUUAGAAUUUAAUUUAAGGUCUAACCUGCCCACUGAGUUAUUAAAUGGCCGCAGUAUUUUAACUGUGCAAAGGUAGCAUAAUCAUUAGUCUUUUAAUUGGAGGCUUGUAUGAAUGGUUGGACAAAAUAUAUAUUGUUUCAUUUAAAUUUAUAGAAUUUUAUUUUUUAGUUAAAAAGCUGAAAUUUAAUUAAAAGACGAGAAGACCCUAUAGAUCUUUAUAAUUGUUGGAUUUAAUUUAUAAAGAAUGUUUUAUUUUUAAUUUAUACAAUUAUUUUAUUGGGGUGAUAGUAAGAUUUAUUUAACUCUUGUAUUAUUUAAUACAUAAAUUAAUGGCUAGUUGAUCCAGUAUUAUUGAUUAAUAAAAUAAGUUACCUUAGGGAUAACAGCGUAAUUUUUUUAGAGAGUUCAUAUCGAUAAAAAAGAUUGCGACCUCGAUGUUGGAUUAAGAGAUAAGUUUGGGCGCAGCCGUUCAAAUUUAAAGUCUGUUCGACUUUUUGAUUCUUACAUGAUCUGAGUUCAAACCGGA
RNAcentral lists this ribosomal RNA (545 nucleotides) under Prosoeca sp. 17 GLT-2023a. RNAcentral's name for it is "partial large subunit ribosomal RNA". It matches the Rfam family "Bacterial large subunit ribosomal RNA", at positions 1802 to 2620 of the family's 2925-position model. The record is from RNAcentral. Lineage: Eukaryota; Metazoa; Arthropoda; Insecta; Diptera; Nemestrinidae.